RNAcentral lists this ribosomal RNA (482 nucleotides) under uncultured bacterium. RNAcentral describes it as "partial 16S ribosomal RNA". It matches the Rfam family "Bacterial small subunit ribosomal RNA", at positions 30 to 505 of the family's 1533-position model. The record is from RNAcentral.
AUUGAACGCUGGCGGCAGGCCUAACACAUGCAAGUCGAGCGGAUGAAGGGAGCUUGCUCCUGGAUUCAGCGGCGGACGGGUGAGUAAUGCCUAGGAAUCUGCCUGGUAGUGGGGGAUAACGUCCGGAAACGGGCGCUAAUACCGCAUACGUCCUGAGGGAGAAAGUGGGGGAUCUUCGGACCUCACGCUAUCAGAUGAGCCUAGGUCGGAUUAGCUAGUUGGUGGGGUAAAGGCCUACCAAGGCGACGAUCCGUAACUGGUCUGAGAGGAUGAUCAGUCACACUGGAACUGAGACACGGUCCAGACUCCUACGGGAGGCAGCAGUGGGGAAUAUGGGACAAUGGGCGAAAGCCUGAUCCAGCCAUGCCGCGUGUGUGAAGAAGGUCUUCGGAUUGUAAAGCACUUUAAGUUGGGAGGAAGGGCAGUAAGUUAAUACCUUGCUGUUGUGACGUUACCAACAGAAUAAGCACCGGCUAACUUCG